UUCUCCCUGCUGUCCUCUUGCUUCUUGCUGCUUUCCCCUUCUUUCUCCCUGCUGUCCUCCUCUUGCUUCUUGCCUCUUUCCCCUUUUUUCUCCCUGCUGUCCUCCUCUUGCUUCUUCCCUCUUUCCCCUUCUUUCUCCCUGCUGUCCUCCUCUUGCUUCUUGCCUCUUUCGCCUUCUUUCUCCCUGCUGUCCUCUUGCUUCUUGCUUCUCCCUCCCCUCCUCUGCUUGCAGAGCAUCCAUGCAUUUGUGAAUAUUUUUAUUUGUAUCCUUCUUAGGUUUGAAGUUUACUGUUUUCCUCUAAUAUCCUGGCGUUAGUCAUUCAAAACUCUUCAUAACUACCAUACCUCCAAAACAGAAAUUUUUUUAAGAUGAAUUGUUGUUAAGUCUAAAUCACAGAAGGAAAGACUCAUCUGGCAUCCUUGAGAUGGACAUUCUGCCUUUCUUGCAGAUUUACAAUACAUAAAUGUCAGCUGUUUUAAUAUUGAUGUGUGUUUUGUUUAAUUUAUUCUCAAUUGAGAAACCUUUUCUCUCUUGUGGCAAAAAGUAGCAUAUUAGAUCAGUUAGUAAAUCUCAGAAUAGGAUGUGAUGAUAUAAUAAAUGACAGAGGUAGAUAUUAGGGUGUGGCAUACAGGGAUAGGAUGAAGCUGUGUUUUCGGUUUUUUAAAUUAACACAAUGGUACAAAUUUAUGGGGUACAUAAGGAUGCUCCAAUACAUACAGUGUAUAGUGUUCAGAUCACGGUAAUUACCAUAUUCAUCAUCUCCAAUAUUUAUCAUUUCUUUAUGUUGGGAACAUUCAAUACACUCUUUUCUAGCUAUUUGAAAAUAUGUAAUAUAUUACUGCUAACUGUCAUCAUUCUACAGUGCUAUAGAACACUAGGAGUAUUCCUCCUAUCUGGCUCAACUUCCACGUAUGAGUGCGAAAUGCAGCGUUUAAAUUCCUGGGCCUGGCUGACUUCGCUUCAAGUCCUGUCCUUCAGGUUCACCCAUGCAGCCACAAAUGGCAGCAUUUGGCUGAAUAUACUCCAUUGUGUGUAUGUACCACAUUGUCUUUAUUCAUUCACCUGUUGCAGGACACUUAGGUUUGUUCCAUAUCUUGACUAUUGCAACUAUUGCGAAAUUAACAUGGGGUGCAGAUAUGUCUUUGACAUACUGUUUUUCUUUCCUUUGGUUAAAUGCUAGUGGUGGGAUUGCCAGAUCAUAUGGUAAUUCUAUUUUUAUUUAUAUAUAUAUUUUUUGAGAAACCUCUGUACUAUUUUCCAUGGUGGUUAUACCAGUUUGCAUUAUCACCAACAGUGUGUGAGUUUCAUUUUCAUUGCACCCUCACCAACAUUUGUCAUUUUUUGGGUCUAUUUAGUAAUAACCAUUCUAACAGGGGUAAGAUAAUAUCUUAUUGUGGUUUUUAUUUGCAUUGCCCUGAUGAUUAGUGAUCUUAAGCAUUUUUUCAUAUAUUUAGUCAUUUGUCUUCUUUUGAGAAAUGUCUAUUCAGAUUAUAUGCCUAUUUUUCAGUAGGAUUAUUUGUUUUCAUUGCAGAGAGAUUUGAGUUCCUUGUAUACUCUGAUAUUUAUCCUUUGUCAGAUAAAUAGUUUAAAAAUAUUUGCUCCCUUUUUGUAGCUUGUCUCUUUACUCUGCUGUUUCCUUUGCUGUACAUAACCUUUUUAGUUCUUUAUAUCCCUUUGUUUAUUUUUGCUGUUGUUAUCUGUGUUUCUGAGGUCUUAUUCGUACAGUUUUUUCUCAGACCGGUGUCCAGAACCAUUGCCUCUAUUUUUUUUAUCUAGUAGUUUUAUAGUUUUGGGUCUUACAUUUAGAUCUUCAAUCCAUUUUGAGUUGAUUUUUUUAUACAAAGUGAGAGAUGACAGUCCAGUUUCAUUCUACUGUAAGUGAAUAGCCAGUUCUCCCAGUACCAUUUAUUGAAGAAAAAUUUCUCAAUGUAUGUUCUUGAAGGCUUUGUGCCCUGUCCUCUCGCUCUCCUCCCCUGGCAGCAUGAGCUUCACCACUCGCUCCUCCUUUUCCACCAACUACCGGUCCGUGGACUCCGUCCAGGUGCCCAGCUAUGGCGCCCGGCUGGUCAGCAGCACAGCCAGCGUCUGUGCAGGUGCCGGGGGCUCUGGUUCUCGCAUCUCCGUGACGCGCUCCGCCAGCUUCCGGAGCGGCGUGGGGGUUGGGGGCCUGGCCGCGGGGAUGGCCAGGGGUCUGGCAGGAAUGGGAGGCAUCCAGAACGAGAAGGAGACCAUGCAAAUCCUGAACGACCGCCUGGCCUCCUACCUGGACAGAGUCAGGAGCCUGGAGACCGAGAACUGGAAGCUGGAGAGCAAAAUCCGGGAGCACCUGGAGAAAAAGGGACCCCAGGUCAGAGACUGGGGCCAUUAAUUCAAGACCAUCGAGGACCUGAGGGCUCAGAUCUUCUCAAAUACUGUGGACAAUGCCCGCAUCGUUCUGCAGAUUGACAAUGCUCGUCUUGCUGCUGAUGACUUUAGAGUCAAGUAUGAGACAGAGCUGGCCAUACGCCAGUCUGUGGAGAGUGACAUCCAUGGUCUCCGCAAGGUCAUCGAUGACACCAAUGUCACUCGGCUGCAGCUGGAGACAGAGAUCGAGGCUCUCAAGGAGGAGCUGCUCUUCACGAAGAAGAACCAUGAAGAGGAAGUAAAUGGCCUACAAGCCCAGAUUGUCAGCUCUGGGUUGACCGUGGAGGUAGAUGCCCCCAAAUCUCAGGACCUUGCUAAGAUCAUGGCAGAAAUCCAGGCUCAAUAUGACGAGCUGGCUCGGAAGAACCAAGAGGAGCUGGACAAGUACUGGACUCAGCUGACUGAGCAGACUACCACAAUAGUCACCACACGGUCCACGGAGGUUGAAGCUGCUGAGAUGACGCUCACAGAGCUGAGAUGUACAGUCCAGUCCUUGGAGAUCAACCUGGACUCCAUGAGAAAUAUGAAGAUCAGCUUGGAGAACAGCCUGAGGGAGGUGGAGGCCCGCUACGCCCUGCAGAUGGAGCAGCUCAACAGGAUCCUGCUGCACCUGGAGUCAGAGCUGGCACAGACCCGGGCAGAGGGACAGUGCCAGGCCCAGGAGUACGAGGCUCUGCUGAACAUCAAGGUCAAGCUGGAGGCUAAGAUCGCCACCUACCGCCGCCUGCUGGAAGAUGGGGAGGACUUCAGUCUCAGUGAUGCCUUGAACAGCAGCAACUCCAUGCAAACCAUCCAAAAGACGACCACCUGCCGGACAAGGGAUAGCAAGGUGGUGUCUGAGACCAACGACACCAAAGUUCUGAGACAUUAGGCCAGCAGAAGCAGGGGACCCUUGGGGGAGCAGGAGGCCAAUAAAAAAUUCAGAGGUCAAAAAAAAAA
Non-coding RNA from Callithrix jacchus (white-tufted-ear marmoset), 3342 nucleotides. The record is from RefSeq and is a predicted model, not a curated record. Lineage: Eukaryota; Metazoa; Chordata; Mammalia; Primates; Cebidae.